GAAAUGCGAUAAGUAAUGUGAAUUGCACAAUUCAGUGAAUCAUCGAAUCUUUGAACGCACAUUGCGCCCGCCAGUAUUCUGGCGGGCAUGCCUGUCCGAGCGUCAUUUCAACCAUCAAGCCCCCGGGCUUGUGUUGGGGACCUGCGGCUGCCCGCAGGCCCUGAAACCAGUGGCGGGCUCGCUGUCACACCGAGCGUAGUAGCAAUCACCUCGCUCAGGGCGUGCUGCGGGUUCCGGCCGUUAAACAGCCUUACAAAACCCAAGGUUGACCUCGGAUCAGGUAGGAAGACCCGCUGAACUUAAGC
Molecule: unclassified non-coding RNA, 305 nt
Filed under: plant metagenome
Description: partial contains 5.8S ribosomal RNA, internal transcribed spacer 2, and large subunit ribosomal RNA
Rfam family: 5.8S ribosomal RNA (bases 1-105)
Source: RNAcentral